RNAcentral lists this ribosomal RNA (466 nucleotides) under uncultured bacterium. Its description in RNAcentral is "partial 16S ribosomal RNA". It matches the Rfam family "Bacterial small subunit ribosomal RNA", at positions 28 to 507 of the family's 1533-position model. The record is from RNAcentral.
GAUGAACGCUGGCGGCGUGCUUAACACAUGCAAGUCGAACGAUGAAGCCCAGCUUGCUGGGUGGAUUAGUGGCGAACGGGUGAGUAACACGUGAGUAACCUGCCCUUGACUCUGGGAUAAGCCUGGGAAACUGGGUCUAAUACUGGAUAUGACUUCUCAUCGCAUGGUGGGGGGUGGAAAGAUUUAUUGGUCUUGGAUGGACUCGCGGCCUAUCAGCUUGUUGGUGAGGUAAUGGCUCACCAAGGCGACGACGGGUAGCCGGCCUGAGAGGGUGACCGGCCACACUGGGAAUGAGACACGGCCCAGACUCCUACGGGAGGCAGCAGUGGGGAAUAUUGCAAAAUGGGCGCAAGCCUGAUGCAGCGACGCCGCGUGAGGGAUGACGGCCUUCGGGUUGUAAACCUCUUUCAGUAGGGAAGAAGCGAGAGUGACGGUACCUGCAGAAGAAGCGCCGGCUAACUACGUG